This is a non-coding RNA of Pelobates cultripes (western spadefoot toad), 210 nucleotides long. The record is from the annotation of a GenBank genome assembly. NCBI's taxonomy places the organism in Eukaryota, Metazoa, Chordata, Amphibia, Anura, Pelobatidae.
AUUUCCAUUAUUUUCACUGCAUAAUGUGUCUCUGCUAUGUCAAAAAACCAAGCACUGGCGACCAAGAUAUUUUGCUAUUUCUUCACCUUGUCAAUGUUGCAUUUCAAUUCCUAAAAAUCUCUGGUAAGCAGCAUCUAUUGUUUUUCCUGAUCCAACUCUCAAGAGUUCAUUGCAUUCUCUCCCUCUCAAGAUGAGAGUUAAACAUUUCAU